GGGUUGUGAGGUUAAGCGACUAAGCGUACACGGUGGAUGCCCUGGCAGUCAGAGGCGAUGAAGGACGUGCUAAUCUGCGAAAAGCGUCGGUAAGGUGAUAUGAACCGUUAUAACCGGCGAUGUCCGAAUGGGGAAACCCAGUGUGAUUCGUCACACUAUCGUUAACUGAAUACAUAGGUUAACGAGGCGAACCGGGGGAACUGAAACAUCUAAGUACCCCGAGGAAAAGAAAUCAACCGAGAUUCCCCCAGUAGCGGCGAGCGAACGGGGAGCAGCCCAGAGUCUGAAUCAGCUUGUGUGUUAGUGGAACGGUCUGGAAAGUCCGACGGUACAGGGUGAUAGUCCCGUACACCAAAAUGCACAGGUUGUGAACUCGAAGAGUAGGGCGGGACACGUGGUAUCCUGUCUGAAUAUGGGGGGACCAUCCUCCAAGGCUAAAUACUCCUGACUGACCGAUAGUGAACCAGUACCGUGAGGGAAAGGCGAAAAGAACCCCGGCGAGGGGAGUGAAAAAGAACCUGAAACCGUGUACGUACAAGCAGUGGGAGCACCUUCGGGUGUGACUGCGUACCUUUUGUAUAAUGGGUCAGCGACUUAUAUUCUGUAGCAAGGUUAACCGUAUAGGGGAGCCGCAGGGAAACCGAGUCUUAACUGGGCGUUAAGUUGCAGGGUAUAGACCCGAAACCCGGUGAUCUAGCCAUGGGCAGGUUGAAGGUUGGGUAACACUAACUGGAGGACCGAACCGACUAAUGUUGAAAAAUUAGCGGAUGACUUGUGGCUGGGGGUGAAAGGCCAAUCAAACCGGGAGAUAGCUGGUUCUCCCCGAAAGCUAUUUAGGUAGCGCCUCGUGAAUUCAUCUUCGGGGGUAGAGCACUGUUUCGGCUAGGGGGUCAUCCCGACUUACCAACCCGAUGCAAACUACGAAUACCGAAGAAUGUUAUCACGGGAGACACACGGCGGGUGCUAACGUCCGUCGUGAAGAGGGAAACAACCCAGACCGCCAGCUAAGGUCCCAAAGUCAUGGUUAAGUGGGAAACGAUGUGGGAAGGCACAGACAGCCAGGAUGUUGGCUUAGAAGCAGCCAUCAUUUAAAGAAAGCGUAAUAGCUCACUGGUCGAGUCGGCCUGCGCGGAAGAUGUAACGGGGCUAAACCAUGCACCGAAGCUGCGGCAGCGACACUAUGUGUUGUUGGGUAGGGGAGCGUUCUGUAAGCCUGCGAAGGUGUGCUGUGAGGCAUGCUGGAGGUAUCAGAAGUGCGAAUGCUGACAUAAGUAACGAUAAAGCGGGUGAAAAGCCCGCUCGCCGGAAGACCAAGGGUUCCUGUCCAACGUUAAUCGGGGCAGGGUGAGUCGACCCCUAAGGCGAGGCCGAAAGGCGUAGUCGAUGGGAAACAGGUUAAUAUUCCUGUACUUGGUGUUACUGCGAAGGGGGGACGGAGAAGGCUAUGUUAGCCGGGCGACGGUUGUCCCGGUUUAAGCAUGUAGGCUGGUUGUCCAGGCAAAUCCGGAUAAUCAAGGCUGAGGUGUGAUGACGAGGCACUACGGUGCUGAAGUAACAAAUGCCCUGCUUCCAGGAAAAGCCUCUAAGCAUCAGGUAACAUCAAAUCGUACCCCAAACCGACACAGGUGGUCAGGUAGAGAAUACCAAGGCGCUUGAGAGAACUCGGGUGAAGGAACUAGGCAAAAUGGUGCCGUAACUUCGGGAGAAGGCACGCUGGUGUGUAGGUGAAGUCCCUGCGGAUGGAGCUGAGACCAGUCGAAGAUACCAGCUGGCUGCAACUGUUUAUUAAAAACACAGCACUGUGCAAACACGAAAGUGGACGUAUACGGUGUGACGCCUGCCCGGUGCCGGAAGGUUAAUUGAUGGGGUUAUCCGUAAGGAGAAGCUCUUGAUCGAAGCCCCGGUAAACGGCGGCCGUAACUAUAACGGUCCUAAGGUAGCGAAAUUCCUUGUCGGGUAAGUUCCGACCUGCACGAAUGGCGUAAUGAUGGCCAGGCUGUCUCCACCCGAGACUCAGUGAAAUUGAACUCGCUGUGAAGAUGCAGUGUACCCGCGGCAAGACGGAAAGACCCCGUGAACCUUUACUAUAGCUUGACACUGAACAUUGAGCCUUGAUGUGUAGGAUAGGUGGGAGGCUUUGAAGCGUGGACGCCAGUCUGCGUGGAGCCAACCUUGAAAUACCACCCUUUAAUGUUUGAUGUUCUAACGUUGGCCCCUGACCGGGGUUGCGGACAGUGUCUGGUGGGUAGUUUGACUGGGGCGGUCUCCUCCCAAAGCGUAACGGAGGAGCACGAAGGUUAGCUAAUCCUGGUCGGACAUCAGGAGGUUAGUGCAAUGGCAUAAGCUAGCUUGACUGCGAGCGUGACGGCGCGAGCAGGUGCGAAAGCAGGUCAUAGUGAUCCGGUGGUUCUGAAUGGAAGGGCCAUCGCUCAACGGAUAAAAGGUACUCCGGGGAUAACAGGCUGAUACCGCCCAAGAGUUCAUAUCGACGGCGGUGUUUGGCACCUCGAUGUCGGCUCAUCACAUCCUGGGGCUGAAGUAGGUCCCAAGGGUAUGGCUGUUCGCCAUUUAAAGUGGUACGCGAGCUGGGUUUAGAACGUCGUGAGACAGUUCGGUCCCUAUCUGCCGUGGGCGCUGGAGAAUUGAGGGGGGCUGCUCCUAGUACGAGAGGACCGGAGUGGACGCAUCACUGGUGUUCGGGUUGUCAUGCCAAUGGCACUGCCCGGUAGCUAAAUGCGGAAGAGAUAAGUGCUGAAAGCAUCUAAGCACGAAACUUGCCCCGAGAUGAGUUCUCCCUGAGACUUUAAGUCUCCUGAAGGAACGUU
Molecule: ribosomal RNA, 2825 nt
Filed under: Klebsiella pneumoniae
Lineage: Bacteria; Pseudomonadati; Pseudomonadota; Gammaproteobacteria; Enterobacterales; Enterobacteriaceae
Description: bacterial LSU rRNA
Rfam family: Bacterial large subunit ribosomal RNA
Source: RNAcentral